Molecule: ribosomal RNA, 290 nt
Filed under: uncultured bacterium
Lineage: Bacteria
Description: partial 16S ribosomal RNA
Rfam family: Bacterial small subunit ribosomal RNA
Source: RNAcentral
UACGAGUGGCUCAAGCAUUAUCCGGAAUUAUUGGGCGUAAAGGGUGUGUAGGUGGUCUUGUCCCGCUUAGCGGGAUUUACUAGUCUUUCGUUAAAGCUCCCGGCUUAACCGGGAAAAUGCGAAAGAUACGGCAAGACUAGAGGGUGCGAGGGGUUUGCAGAACUCAUGGUGUAGGGGUGAAAUCCGUUGAUAUCAUGGGGAAUACCAAAAGCGAAGGCAGCAAACUGGCGCACACCUGACACUGAAACACGAAAGCGUGGGUAGCGAACGGGAUUAGAUACCCUGGUAGU